Molecule: ribosomal RNA, 484 nt
Filed under: uncultured bacterium
Lineage: Bacteria
Description: bacterial SSU rRNA
Rfam family: Bacterial small subunit ribosomal RNA
Source: RNAcentral
AACGCUGGCGGCGUGCUUAACACAUGCAAGUCGAACAAUGAACCCCGGAGCUUGCUCCGGUGGAUUAGUGGCGAACGGGUGAGUAACACGUGAGUAACCUGCCCUUGACUCUGGGAUAACUGCGGGAAAGCUGCGCUAAUACCGCAUACGCCCUGGAGGGGAAAGCGGGGGACCGUAAGGCCUCGCGCGAUUAGAGCGGCCGAUAUCUGAUUAGCUAGUUGGCGGGGUAAUGGCCCACCAAGGCGACGAUCAGUAGCCGGCCUGAGAGGGUGAUCGGCCACACUGGAACUGAGACACGGUCCAGACUCCUACGGGAGGCAGCAGUGGGGAAUUUUGCGCAAUGGACGAAAGUCUGACGCAGCAACGCCGCGUGGGUGAUGAAGGUCUUCGGACUGUAAAACCCUGUCGUCAGGGACGAAGGUGUGGGAGUUAAUAGCUCUUACGCUUGACGGUACCUGGAGAGGAAGCCCCGGCUAACUCUGUG